AGGCAGUCGGACGGGCAGGGAGGCUGCAAGGCAUGGCGUGAGCGGGUGGAGCUGUCAGGACUGCCCCAGACCCUGGCUCAAAGAUGCCCGACCCCAGGACCCUGCCUCUGCUGGAUGGUGAAGGCCAACUUCCCCUCUGUUGGAGCUGGCCUGCCCGUUGUGGGAAGGGCUGGGAGGAGGCCCAGGACAAUGCAGAACAGACAGGACGUUUCACAGAGCAGGCUGCCAUGUCCCUCGGGGCCUUGGGGGCUGCUGAGGCCCUGAGAAAGCCUAUGGAGAGGCCACGUUGAGUCCAGAGGUCCGUGUGCCUCAUGGCCACACCACGGCACCCGUUCACCCACACAAGGGCCAGGAGCAUCCCCUAGGGAGGAGGAGAUGGCAGAUCUGCACAGGCUCUGCGCUCCUCUCUCUCCCGAGCGUCCUCUCCUCUGUGUGGCAGGCUCGGCUCGUGAUGGAGGAGCCCCUUCUGCAGGGCUCUGUUUACAGGGUGCCCGCCCCACAGCCUGUGGCUGCUCCUACUCAUGCCAGGUGAGGCUCCUACACCCACCGGUGGCCACGGGGG
This 562-nucleotide non-coding RNA is filed under the name Pan troglodytes (chimpanzee). Lineage: Eukaryota; Metazoa; Chordata; Mammalia; Primates; Hominidae. The record is from RNAcentral.